Molecule: long non-coding RNA, 909 nt
Organism: Aegilops tauschii subsp. strangulata
Lineage: Eukaryota; Viridiplantae; Streptophyta; Magnoliopsida; Poales; Poaceae
Source: RefSeq, a predicted model, not a curated record
GGAGAAGUAAAAUGAGGCAAAAGAUCCAUUUUCUCCACAUUCCCCACAUCUUCUUCUCAGUGGCGCCGCUGCCGUUCUCCAUUGUUCCCUCGAUCCCCCCGUCCUCUCUCUCUCUCGCUCGCUCUCCUUGACGCAUCGAGCCUAAUUCCCUCCAUCUGCGGCGGAAGGCCAACAGAUCAAGGAUAUAGCAUAACAUAGUUUGCAGGAUACAUCAUAACAUAUAUGAAGAUGCUUGAAGACGGAGGUCAUACCCUAAACCCGCUACGGCUGCUGUACCAGAUCAAGAGAGCUAAGGCUACCACCGGUCAGACUGGAAUCACGAUGCCGUUGGCGCCUCCUGCACUGACGACGAUUGGGGAAGCAAAUUCCAAGGCCGGCACAUCCCCUGCUAUGAUGUGGGUAGGGACAAUCUUCAUCGUCUGUCUUUCCAUCGGCGGCACCUCGGCCUUGGCAUACACCCUCUACAGCCACCAUUUCUUCCCUGCUGACCGCUCGUGUUGUCUGCUGACUCUCAUAUUAUGGGGGGUCUACGUGGCAGUGGUCGCAGUGGUAAUGGUGUACAUGACCCUGUUCCUGCCGAACGCCCCUGUUGCCCUGCGGGAAGCACUCGUCGACAUUGGUUGGAUUUAUGUCGGUUCACCUGUCAUGGCGAUAGACAUUCUUCUGAUGUUCUUUGGCCAGCCGUGGAUGGUCAUCUCAAUGUUUUACUGUCUCGGCAUUCUGAUUGCUGGCGUCCUUGCCUUCUGGUGGUGGCUUGCUCUCACGUACAGGAAAUGUGCUUAGCCUCACUCCUUUUCUGUAACAGACAUUUCCACUCUGUUCAUUACUUAGUACUCCCUUUUGUAAACUAAUAUAAGAUCUCCUUUUAGGUACUAUUAUUGUAUAUAUAUGUUUGCUUGUGUUCGUGUA